GCCUGGCUGGCUCUGUUGGUAGAGCACAAGACUCUUGAUCUCUGGGUUGUAGGUUCGAGCCCCACGUUGGGUG
This 73-nucleotide transfer RNA is filed under the name Ailuropoda melanoleuca (giant panda). It matches the Rfam family "tRNA". From Rfam's summary of the family: Transfer RNA (tRNA) molecules are approximately 80 nucleotides in length. Their secondary structure includes four short double-helical elements and three loops (D, anti-codon, and T loops). Lineage: Eukaryota; Metazoa; Chordata; Mammalia; Carnivora; Ursidae. The record is from Rfam by way of RNAcentral.